This 495-nucleotide ribosomal RNA is filed under the name uncultured Actinomycetes bacterium. RNAcentral's name for it is "bacterial SSU rRNA". It matches the Rfam family "Bacterial small subunit ribosomal RNA", at positions 355 to 859 of the family's 1533-position model. Lineage: Bacteria; Bacillati; Actinomycetota; Actinomycetes. The record is from RNAcentral.
UGGGGAAUAUUGCACAAUGGGCGCAAGCCUGAUGCAGCGACGCCGCGUGAGGGAUGACGGCCUUCGGGUUGUAAACCUCUUUCAGCAGGGACGAAGCGCAAGUGACGGUACCUGUAGAAGAAGGACCGGCCAACUACGUGCCAGCAGCCGCGGUAAUACGUAGGGUCCGAGCGUUGUCCGGAAUUACUGGGCGUAAAGAGCUCGUAGGUGGUUUGUCGCGUUGUUCGUGAAAACUCACAGCUCAACUGUGGGCGUGCGGGCGAUACGGGCAGACUUGAGUACUGCAGGGGAGACUGGAAUUCCUGGUGUAGCGGUGGAAUGCGCAGAUAUCAGGAGGAACACCGGUGGCGAAGGCGGGUCUCUGGGCAGGUAACUGACGCUGAGGAGCGAAAGCGUGGGGAGCGAACAGGAUUAGAUACCCUGGUAGUCCACGCCGUAAACGGUGGGUACUAGGUGUGGGUUUCCUUCCUUGGGAUCCGUGCCGUAGCUAACGCA